Podarcis lilfordi (Lilford's wall lizard) is the source of this 77-nucleotide non-coding RNA. NCBI's taxonomy places the organism in Eukaryota, Metazoa, Chordata, Lepidosauria, Squamata, Lacertidae. The record is from the annotation of a GenBank genome assembly.
UUGGUCAUAGUUUUCAGUUGGCAGAGCGUGAGACUGUUAAUCUCAGGGUUGUGGGUUCGAGACCCAUGUUGAGCAAA